Long non-coding RNA from Orbicella faveolata, 467 nucleotides. The record is from RefSeq and is a predicted model, not a curated record. Lineage: Eukaryota; Metazoa; Cnidaria; Anthozoa; Scleractinia; Merulinidae.
UCAGGUUUACCAGUUACUGAGGAACAACUCAAGGAGGUGGCAACUGAAUCUGGUGUUUUAAGCAUUCCAGAUGAUUUCCUCACUCUAGAAUUUAGGGAUGAAUGUUUACCAGUUACUGAGGAACAACUCAAGGAGGUGGCAACUGAAUCUGGUGUUUUAAGCAUUCCAGAUGAUUUCCUCACUCUAGAAUUUAGGGAAGAAUGUGAGUGCACGUAUAUAACAUAUCAUCUACUUUUAUAAAACCUUUUUUGCAAAUAUGUCUCUCAUUUUGGAAUAAGCAACAAUCCAGUUAUAUUUCUUAUUUAAUAUAAAACUGUAACAAUGUUAAAAUUAUUGCAAAACUUUUGUUCAGAAUAGCCUCUCAUUUUCUUAUCAGCAACAUUCAAGUCAUAACUUAAUAUGGUAAUAACAUAAGGUAACAACAAAAUCAGAGUUGCCUGUACACUCAGAGUAAAUAAGUACAAAAA